AACCCAUGGUGAGGGCACCUUCUCAGUAAGUCUUUGUAUCUCUCUUAUGCAUCAUAAAGUGUUUCUAAGUCCAUCUUCACAAACAAAGAGAUAUCAUUAUGUAAUU
RNAcentral lists this small nucleolar RNA (106 nucleotides) under Gossypium hirsutum (cotton). RNAcentral describes it as "Plant small nucleolar RNA R71". It matches the Rfam family "Plant small nucleolar RNA R71". Rfam says of the family: R71 is a member of the C/D box family of snoRNAs containing the C (UGAUGA) and D (CUGA) box motifs. Multiple nearly identical copies of this snoRNA have been identified in Arabidopsis, and it is thought to function as a 2'-O-ribose methylation guide for 18S ribosomal RNA. Lineage: Eukaryota; Viridiplantae; Streptophyta; Magnoliopsida; Malvales; Malvaceae. The record is from Rfam by way of RNAcentral. RNAcentral also lists the same sequence under 1 other name.